GCAGCAGCAUAAUAAGCAUCAGAAUCAAUCAUCAGUCCUCAUAUUUUACCCAACAAACUACCAAAAAUUGUCCCAUUCCAACACCAUAAAUUUGUAUGGAUUUGGAAUAAUUUUAGUGCCGGCCAAUUUAAAAACGGCCGGAAUGAGUUUUAAGAAAUAUACCGCAGAGGACAAUCAUAUAAAUUAUAAUUCGACAAACAGCCGAAUCAGCUGAUUCAGGGCCUAAAAUAUACAUCAGAUUUCAGGGGACACACUUUUUAAUUCGGCCGAUAGAGUUAUAAGAUUUUCAGUUAGUUCAGUUAGAUUUUCAUAGUUGGGAUGAAGGCGGAAUAGAAGGAGAAAUCUAUAAUAACAUAAUGCGAUUAUUUUUAGAUAAUGAACUAUAAAUUUGUGACAAAUUAAUCGUCUGGAAUAGAUUUACACGAUAAUUAAAAGUGUUAUGCUAUUCAUUGGCUUUGAUAAAGGCAAAGCCACUGCAGAUAAAAUGUAUAAAAUAUAUACUAGAACAAAUUAUCUAAAUACUUAUUAUCAAUUGUCU
Cinara cedri is the source of this 538-nucleotide non-coding RNA. Lineage: Eukaryota; Metazoa; Arthropoda; Insecta; Hemiptera; Aphididae. The record is from the annotation of a GenBank genome assembly.